Molecule: long non-coding RNA, 1243 nt
Organism: Cryptomeria japonica (Japanese cedar)
Lineage: Eukaryota; Viridiplantae; Streptophyta; Pinopsida; Cupressales; Cupressaceae
Exons: 2
Source: RefSeq, a predicted model, not a curated record
UUGACUUAUAUGACGUCCAUAAGCAUUUGGAUUGCCAUGCUCUAAAAUCAGUGACCCCACAAAUUAGAAUUAAAGUUCGAAAAAGAAAUCACACAUUGAUACUGUACUGCAGAUAAUUGCAGCUUUUUGUAAAUUAAUAGUUUUUCCCCACUUGCUUUGAUUGUUAAAGAAAUCCCCCUCCGUCACGAGAGCGGCAGAUGCCAGCCUGUUCAAACAAGAAACUUUUACGUAGCCUACUCUACACCCAUCAAUUACUAUAAAUAAUUGCUAUGUAAGCCAGUUAUCUCACACCAAGGAAGAUGGACUCCAGAGGAAAGAUGAAGUUCAGUAGCAAGUCCUUGGUGGUUUUGAUUGCAGCCAGCAUUUUUGCUGUUGUAAUGCCAUCUGAUGCCACAUACCACGCUAGCAAUCCUCCUCCAAAGGCGUACUAUUACAAGUCUCCUCCUCCACCGGUCCAUCUGUCAUCUCCUCUAAAGGCGUACUACUACAAGUCUCCUCCUCCACCGGACCACCUGUCAUCUCCUCCAAAUGCAUACUACUACAAGUCUCUUCCUCAACUGGCCCACCUGCCAUCUACUCCAAAGACAUACUACUACAAGUCUCCUCCUCCACCGGUCCACCUGCCAUCUCUUUCAAAAGCGUACUACUACAAGUCUCCUCCUCCAUCGGUCCACCUGCCAUCUCCUUCAAAGAUGUACUACUACAAGUCUCCUCCUCCACUGGUCCAGCUAUCAUCUCCUCUAAAGACAUACUACUACAAAUCUCCUCCUCCACCAGUCCACCUGAGAUCUCCUCCAAAAACAUACUACUACAAAUCUCCUCCUCCACCGGUCCACCUACCAUCCCCUCCAAAGGUGGAAAUGAAGCCCCCUCACCCUCCUGUUGUAACUCCUUCCCUACCUAUAGCAAUGCCUGUGUACCCAUCUCCACAUUCUAAAUCCCCAGUCUACCAUCACUUACUCAUCACUACUCUUACAAGUCCCCCCCUCCUCCAUACCAAUUGAUAUGUGAAACAGCUGAUAAGGAUGCCAACUUGCUUUUUGGAAGUUGAAGUUGUAAAGAGGUACUAGCUAUAAUACAAUAAUGGAUUCAGCUUUGGUCUGUUUAAGACAAACGCUUUCAGCACAUUGUGAUCGCAUUGAUCUGCAUAUGGACCUCGAUUGCUAUUCUACAUUCGAUGCAAUAAAGCAUCCUAGUUUUUUGUUUUUUUCAAUAAAGUUUCUCGCUCUUGAUUUUAUUCUCA